CAGUAGCCACGGGAAUACGAAGGGUGCAAGCGUUACUCGGAAUUACUGGGCGUAAAGCGUGCGUAGGUGGUGGUUUAAGUCCGUUGUGAAAGCCCUGGGCUCAACCUGGGAAUUGCAGUGGAUACUGGGUCACUAGAGUGUGGUAGAGGAUAGUGGAAUUUCCGGUGUAGCAGUGAAAUGCGUAGAGAUCGGAAGGAACAUCUGUGGCGAAGGCGACUAUCUGGGCCAACGCUGACACUGAGGCACGAAAGCGUGGGGAGCAAACAGGAUUAGAUACCCCCGUAGUCCCUGUCUCUUAUAC
Molecule: ribosomal RNA, 301 nt
Filed under: uncultured bacterium
Lineage: Bacteria
Description: partial 16S ribosomal RNA
Rfam family: Bacterial small subunit ribosomal RNA
Source: RNAcentral